UGAACUGGGGUAAUGAGAGCAGGCAACUCCUCAGGCGCCCUAACGGAAGUUGAUGAAAUGACCGGAAAUGAACAAAUCAAGAAAUAAGAGCGCGUGCACGUUAUUUAGAAACAGGCGCAGAAAUUCUACAAGAAUUAGGUAGGAGUGCAAAGUUGUUGCUUGGAGGGUGGGUGGAUGCAGGUAAGGAGAGGUGGAGCAGGGCAUCGUCCUUUGGAUGGAACUGUACGUGAGCUGAGCUUUUGUUUGACUGAAUACUUUUUUUCAAGGACAAGGAGGUUCUGCACCAGCUGAGCUUUCUGGUGCGCCAUGAAAUUGCACCAGAAUUUGUCUUUAUGGCAUGUUUCUCCUCAUACGAGAUCAAGAAGUAAGUUUCCAAAAUAGGCUUCCCCUCGAGAACAAGUGAGGGGGCCAGGGCAUCCUGUGUGAGCCUCUUGGCUCUCUGCUCCCUCCGGUCCUCUCCUCGGGGGCUGAGCUGGGAGUCCUCCCCGGUCCGCCCCACAUCCGCAGGCCUUCCCCUCCAGGCCUGCCUCCAUGCCUCCGAUCCAGCCACCUCGGGAUCCGCGGAUCCGCGGGGCUAACGCAUUCUUCUCAAAAUCUUCCCUUCCCCCCGCCGUCAUUCCCAGCUAUUUAGGUCACCGUGGACGAUUUUAGAGACAGAGGAAGAGGCACUAAUGCAAACUUGGGCUAGCAUUUGUUAAAAAUAAAAUGUUGGCAUGCAUAUUUUAACAGGAACCCGUCUGGAUCCGAAAAUACACAGAGACGACGCGAACACACAAGGGGACCUCUUUUCUUCCCGACGCUUUCGUCAACUCAAGAAAACUUGUUCGUCAAGGCAGCCGUUGCUCUACUGACUUGCAUCAUGCCUGCCCCCAGCCACAUUUUUCAGAGACAGCGUCUCGCAUCUGGGAUUUCACAAGCAACAGUGGGGGAGGUGGGUGGGAGCCGAGCGCGGUCCUUGCUCCUGCAUUCUCGGGAUGGAAUGAGACAGAGCCUGUUUGGCGCUGAAGACAGAGCUCUGGCUUCAGGUCUCGGAUCUGAGUCCAAGGAGGAGAGAUGGGAAAGGGAACGCUCCUCCCCAUACAAAUGUGGGUUUUUCUGAGCCACGCUCAGCUCCGGCAGGUGCUGUGAAGGCAUCCCGCAGGACCCCCCACACGUGACCCACAUCGGCGGAGGAGAGCUUGUUCCUAGGAGGCCGCCCACACGCUGCUGUCCAGCAGACAUUGACAGAACACUGUAACUCACCUACAAGUAAAAAUAAUUGAAAGAAAGUGUGAGCGUGCCACAGGAAAGCCUACCUUGUCGUCUAGACUUCUUUGGCCCUUGACAGACACCUCCUAGAAGUUCUUUAUUUUUCUCUUGCUUUCUUAAAGCAAGAUUUUGAAGCAGCUCUCACGCAACCCAGCUUGGGUCUGCUCUGCGGUGCGUAGUAAAGCUAAUCUCCUGAUACAGGGCUGUGGUGCAGGGACGUGCAGCGGUUACGGUGGGCGUCCAGCAAGGCGUCCAGGUGGUAAUGCUCCCAAGGCCCCGACUCCCCAGCGGGUUCCAGGAGAGCAUGUUUGGAGGCCAGGUAAGGGAGGGGGUCCCAGGUGUGUGAACAGCUUGUGCACAGUUCUCUGGCUGGCUGAUGGCAAGGUAACACGCACUGUCACAGGGGUUUGUGUCAUCAGUCCUUAGGCUGCAGCAGGCCUGGGGGCUACAAGCUCCUGGGCAUCGAGCAGAUAACAGCCUCCACUGGGUGGGAGUUUUAGCAUCUGUAAAACAGCUCAGGAAGCUGCAUCAGAUACGGUUAUCUGGGCUUUAGAGAGGAGCUGAAGCAGAGGACACGGGGGGAGGGGGCUGGCCCAGGGAACGUCCCAGAAGGUCCUGCUCGGUGACACCAACAUCUGUUUCCAGAGAAACUUUGUCUUCCACCUUCUUCCCUGCCCCACAGGGAAAGUACUUUUCUAAUGUAGAUUUCUUGCCUAAAUAAGAGACUGAAGACUCAGUCACUGAAAUCAGGGUGUUCCAUGACUGCUGGGGCUCAUGGUACAUCUCAUCAAGAACCCAAAGAGUUGGUGCACAAAGACAGGCGUUCCCGUUGUGGCACAGCGAAAACAAAUCCGACUAGUAUCCAUGGGGACGCGGGCUCCAUCCCUGGCCCUGCUCAGUGGGUUAAGGAUCCGGCGUGACUGUGAGCGGUGGUGUGGGUUGCAGACGCGGCUCGGAUCUGGCAUUGCUGUGGCUGUGGUGUAGCCUGGUGGCUCUAGCUCUGAUUCAACCCCUAGCCCGGGAACAUCUUUAUGCCACAGGUGCAGCCCUACAAAAAGCAAAACCCAAACAUAACAAAAACCAACCAAGCAACCAACAAAAGGUUUGCUUUAGAAGUGAAACAGGGGGGCAGACAUAAAAUCAUUCAGGUGGUUGGGUUCCCCUCUGGAAAUGUGGAAGACAGCAGUCCCUCCCCGGUAUAGUGUAGAGAAAUGAAAACUGAGGUGUUCACAGACACUGGCCCAUAGCAGCCAGAUCUGUAAGAGCCCCAAACCAGUAUCAGCCUGGAUCCCUGCACUGUAGACACACUGUUUAUUGAUGCACAACCACCUGGAUGACUCCAAGCACCCAAAGCCAGUCUCGACACGCCACGGAUUUCAUGAUUCCUUUGCAGACUCCCUCCACAUCACCAAGUAUAGAGAUGAAGACCAGACUCCCUGGCUUCCAGGGGAUGGAGAAGGAGAGAGGGCAUGUGGCAAUAAAGAGGUGACCCAGGGACUUGCCUUCUAGUGA
Molecule: long non-coding RNA, 2760 nt
Filed under: Sus scrofa (pig)
Lineage: Eukaryota; Metazoa; Chordata; Mammalia; Artiodactyla; Suidae
Description: lncRNA (ENSSSCG00030055226.1)
Source: RNAcentral